GAUAUUAAGGUUUGAUACGUUUGAUUAUUAUUAUCCCUUUUCAUAAUAUAUUUGACAUAUGUUUUUUGUUUUUACUUCCAUAUGUUAUGUAACUGACCAGAAGUUAUACGUUAGUUUAAAAAUUCUACUGAGAAGAGGAUAGAGAUUCUCUAGUAUUGAUAUACAGGCUUGUACCUCUAACAUAAAAGUUACGAAAG
RNAcentral lists this non-coding RNA (197 nucleotides) under Aplanochytrium stocchinoi. Lineage: Eukaryota; Bigyra; Thraustochytrida; Thraustochytriidae. The record is from RNAcentral.